UAAAAAAAUAAAUUUUAUACUUCAAAAGUUGAAAUGUGUAUAAACUUCCAAAUGAUUUUCAUAGAAAUAGUUCAUUUGUUCCAAAUAAUCCCUUAUUAUCAUCUGAAAUACAACCAGCAGUGCCAUAAGAAUAAUCCCACAUGCAGUAUAGACCUACCUCCAGACAAUCAGAAUACCAAUUCUGUUCUUCAUGAGCAACUAUGGAAAAUUAAUUUCUCACCAUAAUAAUCCAUUCUGCAUUCAAGCUAGAAUUUGCCAGUGUCCAAACUUCUCACUGACAGGCUCAAACUAUCGACAUUAUCAAAAUGCCAGCGUACCUGCCGCAAACAGCACCCUGUCAAGAGGUUCUAGAGCUAUAAAUUUUGAAGGCUUUGGUGAACUCAACUAACUUGUUUAAAGGGACACGGAGNNN
Molecule: long non-coding RNA, 412 nt
Filed under: Carica papaya (papaya)
Lineage: Eukaryota; Viridiplantae; Streptophyta; Magnoliopsida; Brassicales; Caricaceae
Description: long non-coding RNA (CPAP_LNC007676)
Source: RNAcentral